RNAcentral lists this microRNA precursor (196 nucleotides) under Oryza brachyantha (malo sina). Its description in RNAcentral is "MIR812 microRNA precursor family". It matches the Rfam family "MIR812 microRNA precursor family". The record is from Rfam by way of RNAcentral. Lineage: Eukaryota; Viridiplantae; Streptophyta; Magnoliopsida; Poales; Poaceae.
UUUAUUUGUAUUUUGCACUGUUUAUAUUUAAUGUUUGAUCAUCUGUCUUAUCUAAAAAAAUUAUAAUUAGUAUUUUUGUCGUUAUUAGAUGAUAAAAUAUAAAUAAUACUUUAUGUGACUAUUUUUAUUUUUUAAUAAUUUUUUAAAUAAAAUGAACGGUUAAACGUUAGACACGAAAAUUCGCAAUACAGUUAUA